CAUCGUGAGAUGGAAUCUGAAGGAAGCUGGAUGUGAGGAACAUACUAACUCACGGGCAAAUCUCUGGUCUGACGAACAGAAAUCUCAUAUGAGGUCAUGCAUGAGGGUAAGACUGUAACCUUACAAAGAUGGGAGUACCCGAAGACUUGGCAAUGCAAGCGGGUAAGACCCGACGAGGAUAUUGGUUCGCAACGCAUACAGUUGCAGUAAACAUGGCAAUGAC
Molecule: non-coding RNA, 223 nt
Filed under: uncultured Lachnospira sp.
Lineage: Bacteria; Bacillati; Bacillota; Clostridia; Lachnospirales; Lachnospiraceae
Source: RNAcentral